AGUGAACGCUGGCGGUAUGCCUAACACAUGCAAGUCGAACGGCAGCACAGUAAGAGCUUGCUCUUACGGGUGGCGAGUGGCGGACGGGUGAGGAAUACAUCGGAAUCUACUUUUUCGCGGGGGAUAACGUAGGGAAACUUACGCUAAUACCGCAUACGACCUACGGGUGAAAGCAGGGGAUCUUCGGACUUUGCGCGAUUGAAUGAGCCGAUGUCGGAUUAGCUAGUUGGCGGGGUAAAGGCCCACCAAGGCGACGAUCCGUAGCUGGUCUGAGAGGAUGAUCAGCCACACUGGAACUGAGACACGGUCCAGACUCCUACGGGAGGCAGCAGCGGGGAAUAUUGGACAAUGGGCGCAAGCCUGAUCCAGCCAUACCGCGUGGGGGAAGAAGGCCUUCGGGUUGUAAAGCCCUUUUGUUGGGAAAGAAAAGCAUCAGGUUAAUACCCCGCUGUUCUGACGGUACCCAAAGAAUAAGCACCGGCUAACUUCGUG
RNAcentral lists this ribosomal RNA (492 nucleotides) under uncultured bacterium. RNAcentral's name for it is "partial 16S ribosomal RNA". It matches the Rfam family "Bacterial small subunit ribosomal RNA", at positions 29 to 507 of the family's 1533-position model. The record is from RNAcentral.